GUUUGAUCUCAAAUCAGGUAGGACUACUUGCUGACUUAGCAGGCCCGUAUUGAA
RNAcentral lists this ribosomal RNA (54 nucleotides) under uncultured Tomentella. RNAcentral describes it as "partial 28S ribosomal RNA". Lineage: Eukaryota; Fungi; Basidiomycota; Agaricomycetes; Thelephorales; Thelephoraceae. The record is from RNAcentral.